GCGGCCCCACCUGUGUGUUUUGCGUCCCCUGACAGCCCUCUCAAUUCCCGAUACCCCUUUAGAGCCAAGGAGUUAGUUUUGUUUUUUCGUGGCAUCUCUCUCCUCCCUUCCUCAGUUGUGGCUUCUCUAGGUUUCUAAGCUCCCCCACAUUUAAUCCUUAAACCAUCUCAGGAACCACAGAUCUCUUGGGAAGAUUCAGUGGACAAUGAAGAAAUAUCUGAAGCUGAUCAAAUUCAGGAUCUUUCGUCCCAGACUCAUGUCUAAUAAUCCAGGAUAGAUUGAUUGCCUACCCAGGCGAGGCCUCACACUAGACUCCUGGAUUAACAAGGAUGAUCCAAGUGGGAGGGAUGCCAUCGAAAUGGUGCCAGAAGCUAUUAGAAGGAUCCCAGAGGGAGGGGCCAACUAUGGGGGAUGGCUUUCCACCAUCUGUCAAGGGGAGUUUAUACUCAUGCUUUUGAGUUUGUUUUUAUAAAAUCUCACUCAGUGGUAAGACUGCCUUUCUCUUUAGCACCCCAGGUCUGUAUUUAAGCCUCCUGAAAUGCUUUAAAAAAAUACAAAUGUAGAGAUACAUUGUCAAUCACAUUUCGUCCCAAGGUUAGGAGGAGAUUCAACCCUUGCCUUCUCUGUUUUGGCAAGGCAGAACUCAGAGG
RNAcentral lists this long non-coding RNA (650 nucleotides) under Bos taurus (domestic cattle). RNAcentral describes it as "long non-coding RNA NONBTAT025874". Lineage: Eukaryota; Metazoa; Chordata; Mammalia; Artiodactyla; Bovidae. The record is from RNAcentral.